CAAGCCCUACUUUGUCCGUGGCAUUCUCGAAGUUCUGAGCCAACACCGACGCAUUGGGAGCCCGGCCUCUGGUUGCGGCUUGCAGGCCUCCGCCGCGAGGAAGCGAAAAACAACCAGGAGGGCACCCACCAGUUCUGAGAUUGGGUUCAGGAAACUUUGAGCGGAGCCACGGCAAUGUGGGGUUUUA
Molecule: non-coding RNA, 187 nt
Filed under: Candidatus Desulforudis audaxviator MP104C
Lineage: Bacteria; Bacillati; Bacillota; Clostridia; Thermoanaerobacterales; Desulforudaceae
Description: 6S / SsrS RNA
Rfam family: 6S / SsrS RNA
About the family: E. coli 6S RNA was the first non coding RNA to be sequenced, but its function was unknown until recently. It consists of 184 nucleotides that fold into an extended hairpin structure with a large single-stranded internal bulge.
Source: Rfam by way of RNAcentral